CCGGAAGUGCCCUUCCCAUAGGUGGAGGCGGCGGCGGAGCUGCGGGAGCUGGCGGGGGAGGGGCUGGCGGCCAUGGCGGGCGGGGCCGGAGGGGGCGUGGCCUUCGCCGCCGCCCUGCCCCCCAUGCUGGCCUGCCUGCGCGGCGACCUCCCGCCGCCCUCCGCGACCCCCACCCCGAGGUGCGCGGCAACGCCCUCUGCAGCCUGGGCCGCCUGGCCGCCAACGGGGCGGGGCAAAGCCCGUAUCCAUGGCAACGGGGGCGGGGCCGGGACGGGCGCCAUGGCAACGGGGUGGGAAAGGGGCGGGGCUUGGCUCGUUGCCAUGGCAACCGGGCGGGAGGGGAGGGGCGGGAGGGUGGGUGCCUAG
This 366-nucleotide long non-coding RNA is filed under the name Anas platyrhynchos platyrhynchos (common mallard). Its description in RNAcentral is "lncRNA (ENSAPLG00000025891.1)". The record is from RNAcentral. Lineage: Eukaryota; Metazoa; Chordata; Aves; Anseriformes; Anatidae.